Molecule: ribosomal RNA, 493 nt
Filed under: uncultured bacterium
Lineage: Bacteria
Description: partial 16S ribosomal RNA
Rfam family: Bacterial small subunit ribosomal RNA
Source: RNAcentral
GACGAACGCUGGCGGCGUGCUUAACACAUGCAAGUCGAACGGUGAAGGGACCGGUUUUUGCUGGUUCUGGAUGAGUGGCGAACGGGUGAGUAACACGUGAGUAACCUGCCCCCUUCUUCUGGAUAACCUCAUGAAAGUGUGGCUAAUACGGGAUAUUCUGCGCCUGCUGCAUGGUGGGUGUGGGAAAGAUAUUGUUUCGGUGGGGGAUGGGCUCGCGGCCUAUCAGCUUGUUGGUGGGGUGAUGGCCUACCAAGGCGGUGACGGGUAGCCGGCCUGAGAGGGUGGACGGUCACACUGGGACUGAGACACGGCCCAGACUCCUACGGGAGGCAGCAGUGGGGAAUAUUGCACAAUGGGCGCAAGCCUGAUGCAGCGACGCCGCGUGAGGGAUGGAGGCCUUCGGGUUGUAAACCUCUUUCGCCAGUGAAGCAGGCCUGUCCCUUUUGUGGGUGGGUUGACGGUAGCUGGAGAAGAAGCGCCGGCUAACUACGUG